RNAcentral lists this ribosomal RNA (164 nucleotides) under Dendrobium morrisonii. Its description in RNAcentral is "5.8S ribosomal RNA". It matches the Rfam family "5.8S ribosomal RNA". Rfam says of the family: 5.8S ribosomal RNA (5.8S rRNA) is a component of the large subunit of the eukaryotic ribosome. It is transcribed by RNA polymerase I as part of the 45S precursor that also contains 18S and 28S rRNA. Functionally, it is thought that 5.8S rRNA may be involved in ribosome translocation. The record is from RNAcentral. Lineage: Eukaryota; Viridiplantae; Streptophyta; Magnoliopsida; Asparagales; Orchidaceae.
GACAUGACUCUCGGCAAUGGAUAUCUUGGCUCUUGCAUCGAUGAAGAGCGCAGCGAAAUGCGAUACGUGGUGCGAAUUGCAGAAUCCCGCGAACCAUCGAGUCUUUGAACGCAAGUUGCGCCUGAGGCCAAACAGCUAAGGGCACGUCUACCUGGGUGUUAAGC